Molecule: ribosomal RNA, 413 nt
Filed under: Icosiella neglecta
Lineage: Eukaryota; Metazoa; Nematoda; Chromadorea; Rhabditida; Onchocercidae
Description: partial 12S ribosomal RNA
Source: RNAcentral
UUUUGUUCUUGUUUUUAUUUUAUUUUUGUAGAAUAUUUUAAUUUUUUUUGUUUUGAUUAAAUGUUAAAAAUUUGGUUUUUGAACUGGAUUAGUACCCAGGUAAUCAAAAUUUAUUAAUUCGGGAGUAAAGUUGUAUUUAAACCGAAAAAUUAUUGACUGACCUUGGAUUUUUUUUUGGAACAUGUGUUUGGAGAGCCCUCUUUAUUGGUUUUCUUUAUUGGUACAUGUAUGAUUGUUUAGUUUUUAUAUUAUUUAUAAUGCUUUUUUAAUUUUUAUAUUAAAAACAGAUAUAUAUUUGGCUUAUAAGUUAAUUUUUCAUGUGUUACUAUUAUUAAUUUUUUUCGGAUAAAUUUUUUAUUUUAUUUUUGAAGUUGGAAAAGAAAGUAAUUUAUUUUUUAUGUGUUAAUGAAUUU